This 181-nucleotide small RNA is filed under the name Saccharicrinis fermentans DSM 9555 = JCM 21142. Its description in RNAcentral is "Bacteroidales-1 6S-Bacteroidales RNA suggested". It matches the Rfam family "Bacteroidales-1 6S-Bacteroidales RNA suggested". The record is from Rfam by way of RNAcentral. Lineage: Bacteria; Pseudomonadati; Bacteroidota; Bacteroidia; Marinilabiliales; Marinilabiliaceae.
AUCAGUUUUAUUUAGAUUGUUAAACUCAACACUACAUUAAAACCGAGUAAAGUUAUUUGAUCUAAGGGCGGGCCUCACCUUCGGGUUAUCAUUUGUGGUACGGAGGAUUACUGCAGAUCAUGUACACUCAAAUCCUGUAUACAGGAGUUUAAAUAGUCCAUUAAUUGAUGCGGCCGGCAUA